CCUACGGGAGGCAGCAGUAGGGAAUCUUCCGCAAUGGACGAAAGUCUGACGGAGCAAUGCCGCGUGAGUGAAGAAGGUUUUCGGAUCGUAAAACUCUGUUGUUAGAGAAGAACAAGGAUGAGAGUAACUGCUCAUCCCCUGACGGUAUCUAACCAGAAAGCCACGGCUAACUACGUGCCAGCAGCCGCGGUAAUACGUAGGUGGCAAGCGUUGUCCGGAUUUAUUGGGCGUAAAGCGAGCGCAGGCGGUUCUUUAAGUCUGAUGUGAAAGCCCCCAGCUCAACUGGGGAAGGUCAUUGGAAACUGGGGAACUUGAGUGCAGAAGAGGAGAGUGGAAUUCCACGUGUAGCGGUGAAAUGCGUAGAUAUGUGGAGGAACACCAGUGGCGAAGGCGACUCUCUGGUCUGUAACUGACGCUGAGGCUCGAAAGCGUGGGGAGCAAACAGGAUUAGAUACCCUGGUAGUCCACGCCGUAAACGAUGAGUGCUAAGUGUUGGGGGGUUUCCGCCCCUCAGUGCUGCAGCUAACGCAUUAAGCACUCCGCCUGGGGAGUACGGCCGCAAGGCUGAAACUUAAAGGAAUUGACGG
RNAcentral lists this ribosomal RNA (587 nucleotides) under uncultured bacterium. Its description in RNAcentral is "bacterial SSU rRNA". It matches the Rfam family "Bacterial small subunit ribosomal RNA", at positions 338 to 916 of the family's 1533-position model. The record is from RNAcentral.